This 402-nucleotide ribosomal RNA is filed under the name uncultured bacterium. RNAcentral's name for it is "bacterial SSU rRNA". It matches the Rfam family "Bacterial small subunit ribosomal RNA", at positions 975 to 1375 of the family's 1533-position model. The record is from RNAcentral.
CAACCCUUGACAUGGGACGUAUGGGCACGAGAGAUCGGGUCCUUCAGUUCGGCUGGCGUCCACACAGGUGCUGCAUGGCUGUCGUCAGCUCGUGUCGUGAGAUGUUGGGUUAAGUCCCGCAACGAGCGCAACCCUCAUCUUCAGUUGCCAUCAUUUGGUUGGGCACUCUGAAGAAACUGCCGGUGACAAGCCGGAGGAAGGCGGGGAUGACGUCAAGUCCUCAUGGCCCUUACGGGUUGGGCCACACACGUGCUACAAUGGCGGUGACAAUGGGGUGCAAAGGCGCGAGCCCGAGCCGAUCUCAAAAAGCCGUCUCAGUUCGGAUUGCACUCUGCAACUCGGGUGCAUGAAGUUGGAAUCGCUAGUAAUCGCGCAUCAGCACGGCGCGGUGAAUACGUUCCC